AUUGAACGCUGGCGGCAUGCCUUACACAUGCAAGUCGAACGGCAGCACGGGAGCAAUCCUGGUGGCGAGUGGCGAACGGGUGAGUAAUAUAUCGGAACGUGCCCAGUCGUGGGGGAUAACGUAGCGAAAGCUACGCUAAUACCGCAUACGAUCUAUGGAUGAAAGCGGGGGAUCGCAAGACCUCGCGCGAUUGGAGCGGCCGAUAUCAGAUUAGGUAGUUGGUGAGGUAAAGGCUCACCAAGCCGACGAUCUGUAGCUGGUCUGAGAGGACGACCAGCCACACUGGGACUGAGACACGGCCCAGACUCCUACGGGAGGCAGCAGUGGGGAAUUUUGGACAAUGGGCGCAAGCCUGAUCCAGCAAUGCCGCGUGCAGGAUGAAGGCCUUCGGGUUGUAAACUGCUUUUGUACGGAACGAAACGGCGAGCUCUAAUACAGUUUGCUAAUGACGGUACCGUAAGAAUAAGCACCGGCUAACUACGUGCCAGCCGCCGCGGUAA
Molecule: ribosomal RNA, 500 nt
Filed under: uncultured bacterium
Lineage: Bacteria
Description: partial 16S ribosomal RNA
Rfam family: Bacterial small subunit ribosomal RNA
Source: RNAcentral